RNAcentral lists this ribosomal RNA (257 nucleotides) under uncultured Pseudomonas sp. RNAcentral describes it as "partial 16S ribosomal RNA". It matches the Rfam family "Bacterial small subunit ribosomal RNA", at positions 96 to 354 of the family's 1533-position model. Lineage: Bacteria; Pseudomonadati; Pseudomonadota; Gammaproteobacteria; Pseudomonadales; Pseudomonadaceae. The record is from RNAcentral.
CGGCGGACGGGUGAGUAAUGCCUAGGAAUCUGCCUGGUAGUGGGGGACAACGUUUCGAAAGGAACGCUAAUACCGCAUACGUCCUACGGGAGAAAGCAGGGGACCUUCGGGCCUUGCGCUAUCAGAUUAGCCUAGGUCGGAUUAGCUAGUUGGUGAGGUAAUGGCUCACCAAGGCGACGAUCCGUAACUGGUCUGAGAGGAUGAUCAGUCACACUGGAACUGAGACACGGUCCAGACUCCUACGGGAGGCAGCAGGU